GGAGAAGCAACGCAAGACCCCGGAAGCAUGCCAACGUGUAAAACCCCAAGUCAAAGGUCAAACAGUGCACUGGAUCUCUCAAGUCGCCUGCUUGGCCCUCUACUAAAAAGGGAGAUGCCAUGUGCUGGCCCAGCACUCCAACAGGGGCCUGACCUCUAGGAACGGGACACUGGAGGAAGCCUAGACAUCUGAACAAAUCAAGUCAUCCAGAUCCACGGUCAGCUCCUGCCCCGACUUGGCCUUCCUCCUGCUGGGCUGGCCCACGGACCUCGGGAACCUGCCCUGGCUGUGGGUGACCUGCAGCCUAUCUCCCAGGACUAUGGAAGCCCCAUGCAGGAACAUGGUUCUGACACUUUGGGGAUUAUACCCUAAGCUUAAAGGACUGGAAAAGCCCCUGAAGUCCCGAGACCACAACCCUCCACCUUCUAAAGAUAAGACAAGUCACUGAAGGUCUCAGAACUGUGGCCCAUUCACCCCUUCCCUCAAGACAAGAGUGUGGCCAAGCAUCAAUCUCACCCCCAGAGACCAGACGGUGUCCAGGUCUUGGGCAGACGAAACCUGCUCCUUGGGGAUGGUCUUCCUGGCUGUGCUUCCAAAGGGCUGGCCUGCAAUCAGCUGGUUUUCACUUGAUCCUUUCGGGGUUUGCAUUAUAUCUGACUGAAGGAAUGAACUGGGAGAGAACAGCAGAGCCGCAGCGGAAUGUGGAAAGGCCCACGUCCAGACUGUUCCCAUUCUGAUUUAAAAGCCUGAUGAAGGAACAGCUGAACUCAGAGAAACAGCAGGUGAAAGUAAAUUUUUUAUUUAUUUUUUCUUCCUUUUGCCAACAUUCUGCAUCACCUCUUGUUUCUAGCCUCACUUUCAUUCCAGCAGCUUCUCGGGUGUGGCUGUGGCUGUGGCUGUCUGGCUUCCCUUCUAUUGAUACCUCUGGCAGCCUUUGAGGGAUGAGAGGGCGUGGGGGUUUCCACUGCAAACAUGAGGGAGUAGGUUGAGUGCUUCGUUGUUGAGGUGAGCUUCCCUGAUGGGGUUGAACCCUGUAUAUCAGAAAGAAGCCCAACCACCCUUUUGCUAUUUCAUAGUGAAGCAUUGCAUUGAAUCUCCUGGAGCAGACAUAAAUGAAUGUUGUGGCUCUGGAGUGGUAAAAGAGAUUGCAAACAAACAGUCUUCAUAUCUCCUGGGGGUGCUUUUUACUGAGCUAACAUAGCUAAGCUGGAAAUGUGUUUUCUAGUAUUCCAUUCUCUGUGUGUUGCUGGCCACAAAGAGACUUGUGUGUCUAAGUCUUGGAAGAUGUAAGAGAAGGAGCUGCCAUUUUGUGUGCUCUGAGGUGGGUAAAGGGCACCAGAUGCUGUGGCAGCUCACACAGGUCUGUCAUCUGCUAGCCUUGCCUUGCGGGUGGGGCCAUAUCCUGAGCCUCGCACAACCUCAGCUCCCACUGGAUCUCUUCCUUCAGCUCCUCUGAGCCCUGGGCCAGAUGUGUGUACAGCUCCAUGGUGAAAGCCACCAACUUUUCCAGUAGGUCUUCUGCAUCUUUUGGGUGGGAGGUGGUGAGAAAGAGAGGUGGGCUCUAUUUCAUCCUUUUGAGGGGAAAUGGGAAAAUACCUCUUGUCCUCUACUUCCUCAAUUUCACACCCAACUCUCCUUCCUAACUCCCAGUCCAGGCGAUAUAGAACAAAUUCAGCCCAGUAUCAGAUACUACCUUUACAGAGAUUUCACAACCAGUCUCACCAUUGUGCAGAUCCUAAUCCCUGUUAUAAAUUCUAUAUAUUGGUUCUGUUUCUCCAAUUGAACCCUGACUGAAAAAGCUCUUCAUGGCUACUGUUGCCUGCGAAUUUUAUCUCUUGAAUUAGUAGAUGGUUAUACUGCUCUGCCAGGACUGUUUGACUUCCUGAACAGAAAGCGUAAAUGGUAAAGUGUGGAUUGUGAUUAAAUCAUUGAUGACCUACUACAGGUUGGUAGUUUGUUCUGUCUGAAUUGCAUCUUAAAGAAGCUCAUUGAAAUGUCUUAUAUGGUGACAUACUUCCUUUUCUCCAGUGUUAUUUAAUGUUCUCUUAUUUUUAUAGCCCUUGACCUUAGCCUUUUAUUUAAAGCUACUGAGGGGCUUAGAUUACUGUUGCCAUUUUUCUUGGGAUUAUGCUAAUCCAGGUUUUCAUUUUACUAUGUCAAUCUCCACUUACAUUUUUUUUAACUCUGCUGGUUUCCUUUAUAAAGUCACUAUCUCUUCUUCUUCUCUUAAUUUGCGUCCCUUAUUUCAGAGACAAUGAUUUCAUUUUAUUUCACUGAGUGAGAGAAGCAAAUGUCUAAAAUUUACAUUUUGCUUUCUGUAGAAAGCUCCUUUCUAAAAUCUGCGUUUUUCUUUACCUCUGGCAUGCUGCAUUCAUUUCCUUUUUUAUGCUGCAGAAUUUCUGUGUUUGCGCCCCCAUCCUGUGAGUGAGUGUUCUCUGGCUUCCCUCCCUGUUCCCAGGAAUGCUAUGGGACUUCAUCUUUCAUAUGCUUACUGGUGAAGGCUGCUGCAUGAUGACUUUGUAGGCUGAGGGAGUGGAGAAAAAGGUGAGGCUGGGAGCACUCUAAAAAGAAGAAUUUGGUGUUUGUUCUGUUGACUCCUUCUUUCUUAUACAGGAGGGCAGUUCUCUUCUUGUAUUCCUUUGUUUUUGGUGUGUUGUUUGUGUGUUUGUUUUUUGUUUAUUUUGACACAAAGUCUUGCUCUGUCGCCCAGGCUGGAGUGCAGUGGUGCGAUCUUGGCUCACUGCAACCGCCUCCUCCCGGGUUGAAGCGAUUCUCCCACCUCAGCCUCCAGAGUAGCUGGGAUUACAGGUGUGCACCAUAACACCCGGCUAAUUUUGUAUUUUUAGUAGAGCCGGAUUUUCACCAUGUUGGCCAGACUGGUCUCAAACUCCUGGCCUUAAGUGAUCUGCCCAUCUCGGCCUCCCAAAGUGCUGGGAUUACAGGCGUGAGCGACCGUGCCCGGCCACUUCUUGUAUUCCUUUGUUCAGCAUGGCCUCUUCCUCAGGUCUUCGAUGUGGCUUAGUGUCCCUCUCAAGAACUUUUCCACAACAGGGACAGGAUCUCACCACAGCAGAGAGAAUCAGAAUCAGUGAAAAACACCCAUGCCUGGAGACUUCUUGUUUAGAACGGCCACUCUUGUUUUGAUCCUUCACAUCCCCUCCAAUCUAAUUCUGAAUUUUUUUUCUUUACUGUGGCAAAAUACACAUAACAUAAACUUACAUGUUACCGUUUUUAAGUGUCCAGUUCAGUGGCAUUAAGAACAUGCACAUUGUUUGGCAAUCAUCACGAGUAUUCAUAUUCAGGACUUUAUUCAUCUUCCUCAACAGAAACCCCCCAUACCCACUAAACAACAAGCCCUCAUUUUCCCCUGCCCCACCAGCCCCUGACAACCGCCAUUCUUCUUUCUGUCUCUAGGAAGCUGAUUACUCUAGGUACCUAUGAGGGUGGAGUCAUACAGUAUUUGUUUUUGUGACUGGCUGAUUUCACUCAGCGUAAUGUCUUCGAGGUCCAUUCAUGUUGUGUGAACAUGGAAGCUAUAAAUUGAGGUGUCAGAACCACAAGAUGGAAGUACGUUGGAUUUCUGAGUCACCACCUGGAGGAGAGCUUCCCUGCAGCAUUGCUGGAAUCUGAUGUGAACUAGAUAUUCAUCUUGAUCGUGUUGACUUGAACCUAAUUCAGGCCUAAGACAUAAUAUAUACUGCAUAAUAUAUGCCGUAUAAUGAUAAUAUAUUUAUGCAGCCUUUAUUGAUAUGAGUAGUGGUUUAUCUCAGUUUUAUAAUAAAAAUCUCUCAAAGAACAUUGACUCCAAGGAAUAACAAUCACAAAAGGAUUACAGCUUUGUUUAACACUUUCUGCAAAUCCUUGAAGCUGAUCUUUCCUGUUGUUUCUAAUCCCAAUAGCCAGCCUAAACCUUUUGGUGUAAUCUCAUGUAUUCUGACCUCUGUUAUUUCCUGCUGCUUAAUGAUCUUUCUAUAAAUUGUAUGGGAAAUGAAGCAAAUGUAAUUACAGUGUCUGCCAGCCCUGAUGCAGAUAAAUAGGUGGGAGUCUGGCCAAGUGUCUCCCCAAGCUAGCCUUUGGUGUCUUUCACUCACAGCAGAAAGAAAUAGGUCAUAAAUUACAGCACUGAUUUGUUCCAAUGAUAUCAUUAGCUCCUGGAAAACAAGGAUCAUGAAAAACCCAUUUCAAAUGAACAUAUGAGUCAAUACCAACCAAGCAUCUUUUGGAAAAGAGCCCUUAUAAAUUCAUACUAGAAUUCUGACUCCUAAGUGAAUAUCUCUGGAUCUUCAGAACAUAGAAGACUUAGCUCCAGCCCAUGCAUCAGUCCCUUCAGACCAUAGAGUCAUAACCAGGCCUAUUGAAAGAGCUGGUUACAUGAGACAGUCAGAGAUUUACCUAGGUGAGAAAAUAAAGAUUAGAUGGUUUGAAGCAGAGUUCUAGCCCUUCCAAAUCAGACCUCCAACCCCUUUCUUAAUUCUAUAGUUUGUAGUUUUCAAAGGAGAAGUUGUAAU
This 4508-nucleotide long non-coding RNA is filed under the name Homo sapiens (human). RNAcentral's name for it is "HSALNT0223484". Lineage: Eukaryota; Metazoa; Chordata; Mammalia; Primates; Hominidae. The record is from RNAcentral.